UCUCUAAAAAGCUAGGAUAUGUUGAAAAAUAUUCAUUUGUUGCUUUGCCUGUUAUUGAUGUGCAUGAUGCCUCCUGCCAUUUAAAGCCUGUUUAGUAAAGUGAUGCUAUUCUGAUGCUUUUGAUUGGUUCUCUCGUUUGAAUUUGCAGCCACCACGUCUGCCAGUUACAUCAAUCCACAUUGCCACUGAAAGCUUUAGACUACAACCUGUCUGAGGUUUGCCACCAUGCCGAGUGAUAAAAAUGCGUUCCAGUGCUGGAAAUGUAAAAAUCAUUUCAUCCAGAAAUCAGAAAAGGCUGCAAAUAUAACAGUUCAGUGCAAAAUAUGUUUGCCAGCUAUUAAAAUGCUAUCGACAUCGAAGGUUUCAAUGUCGAACCAGAAGAAGCAUCUGUAGGUUUGUAAUUUAGCAUACAGUUAACUAAGCAGUCAUUAAAUAAAGUAGGAAAGACACCAAUGUUUCAGGAGUUUAGGACAUUACAGUUUUAUCUUCUGUUAAUGCUGGAUUUCUGUAAAGCUGCUUUGAAACGAUGUGUGUUGUGAAAGGCGCUAUACAAAUAAAGUUCACUUGACUAGGACACAGACUAGGACACAUGCUUAUUCAAUAACCUAUUUGGUUAUGUUUAUGCUUUAUUUUUACGAUUUACUUUUUCCCCAAGGCAUUGUUCGAUGCCAGUGUUUCCUGUCAUAGCUAUGCAAAGAUUUGAUUUCAAAAACAGUAUCAUGGCUAUUAAACUAUUUCUUGUUAUGAUUUAAAAUCUGUAUUUAACCUCGGAAUGAUCUCAAAGUAAAAAGCGGUACUAAAGUCUGAUUUUGUGGUGGCUCUGCUUCAAAAUUAAAUUAUUAUAAUCUUAUUUCAAGUGAUGAAGGAUUUUUUAAUUAGUCUGACAGUAAUCAGUGUUGAGUACUACUGUAAGGUUAACCCUACCUGGUUUAAAUGUUUGAAAAUGAUUAACAGUUGAAAACAUUCGUUAGAAAUUUAGAAAAGUAAUCAAAUGUAGUCUGUUACAUCAAUCAAGUAACAGUUACACUACUUAUUACAUUUUUAAAUAGGGUAACUUGUAAUCUGUAACCUAUUACAUUUCCAAAGUAACCUUCCCAACACUGUUCGUAAUGUUACAAACACAAUUAAGCAUCUUGUUUAAUGUUAGAUGUAGCUUCAACAUAAAAUGUGUUUAACAAAUGUUGUUUGUUGAAAUAAAAAUGAAAUGAAAUAUCAUGCAUUACAUUUAAAAUGUACCUUUAGCACAAGUAAUCUUACAUUGUUCUGAUCAAAGUCCUUUCACAAGCGCAUCCAAACAAUAAUGUGAUUCUAACCGACACUCGAUCCCCUCAGGUGGGAGGGGUUUCAAGUUAAACACAUACCCCUGUUCACACAUACAGGUUUUUUAAUUCCCAAUGUUAAAGUGUCAUAUCUCCUAGGAAAUAUUUUUUAAGACUGUUUAUUGAGGUGCGGGAUUACGUAAGGCAUUUACAAGCUACUUUAAGGGCUGUCGGGCAAAUUACCUGCUGUGUUUGUUAACCAGAUUUCGAAGUGUCCUUUUAAAUCUUUUUAUCUCUCUGAAGUGUUAAAAAAUAUUCAAAGUAUCUGUUCACACAUCCAUGAAGCCUGGUCAACUCUUAAAGUGGCAUAUCUCUUAGGAAAUGUUUUUAAUUCUGUUUAUUGCUUUAUUAUCCAUCUUUAAGAGGUAAUCCGGGGUUGUCUGCACUCCAUCGAAAAAUGUUUCGGUCAAAUGAUUUGCUGCAUUUAAGGAGCAUGUGUGUGUGUGUGUGUUUUAAAAUCUUUGAUCCUCACUGAAGCGUUUCCAAGUAUCAUCUUAAACUGAUGCCUGCAACUUUUAAAGUGACAUCUCUCUUAGGAAAUGAUUUUAAAACUGUUUAUUGCUUUUGGUGUGUGAUGAGACAAGAUGUUUACGGCCGAACCUUUGGGGUUGUCGGCCAAAUGUCCUGCUGUGUUUAGGAAGUUUGUGUUUUGAAAUCUCUCAUCUAAUCUCUCUGAAGUGCCAUCCUGGAUACUUCACAACAACAAAAACGGGGUGGUUGUGGCAGCGGGGGCGUGGUCAAGCGCCCAUCUGGAGAGAGAAAGCGUUUCUGAUAAGAAUGUGGCAGGAGAGGUGUCUGUGAGAGUAGAGGCAGGUUGUUCUCAAAGACUAUUAACCUGUUGAGCUGUUGGCCUGUCAUUGCUGGGUUUGCACUAUGCAAUCAUGUUGUAGAUUUGCUCAAACAGACCUCACAUUACAGCCAGGAGGGAGUAACGGCUGUCCCCCUACUCACAGCUGCACAGGGUCUGAGCAGCAGUGGCAUAAACCUAGAACCCAGGGCUUUAAGCCUGGUCCAACAAAUGAGAUUGUGGUGUUGUCAGCUAGGCCCAAGGAGAGGAUUGGCUGAAGGGAUCAGGAGUAACUUGUACAACGGGCCUGUGACCAGACCUGUGACCUUCCAGACAUGUCAGUUCUGCGUGUGAAUGAGAUUAACCGAGGAAUGCCAAGGGAAACUGCUCCACCCACAACAACAAUGGGAAUAGCAUUUAUUGAAUUGUUUAUUCAAAGAAUAUUCAGAGAUGGGAGAGUCAUAAAAACAAUCAAACAAAAGGUUGAUUACUUUUACCUACCUAUGCUUUUGGCUUGAAAAUUUCCAUGGUUAACUUUCAAUCUGUUUUUUACAAAGUUCAAAUAGUUUGGUUUUCAUGUGUUCACUAUUGUCAUCUGCCACAAAUAUAUUCUAAUACAAUAAAAUUCUAGUAUACAAAUUAUGUUAUGUAGUUGAACAGGUCAUCAUUAAUUUAUUAAA
Long non-coding RNA from Xyrauchen texanus (razorback sucker), 2786 nucleotides. RefSeq lists it as uncharacterized. Lineage: Eukaryota; Metazoa; Chordata; Actinopteri; Cypriniformes; Catostomidae. The transcript is spliced from 5 exons. The record is from RefSeq and is a predicted model, not a curated record.